UUCUUUUGAGAGAUUAGUUGGUUGUUUCUUGCCUUUAUUUAUGGAAAAUUGAUAUUUUAAGUAAAAAAUUGUCUUUUGGGUGGGUAAGUAAUAUAAUAAAAAUUCACUAUUAUUAGGUUAUAGUUUAGUUUGUACUGUGUAGGAUAGCUAGUUUAGUCAAUGUAAAGAAAAUUUUAAGUAUUGUACCUUUUGUAUCAGGGAUGAUCAAAGUAUUUAGUUUAUUAAUUAUAGUCUCGAAGUGAAAUGAGCGAGUAAACUACGGUUGUUUAUGUAGAACAAUGAAACUAUUAAUAGUUUGCUAGUGAUGAGAUGUCAGUCGACUUUUAUAUAUCUAGUUUUUCUUGAAAAAAAUUUAAUUUUAUCUUUUACCGAAAAAGGUAAAGGCUUUACCGCAAGGGGGAAGAGCUCCUUGGGGAUUCAUGGGUAUAACGGAUAAAUCAUAUUUUCUUUUUUUUAGGCUUAAGAUCAGUCAUUUUUCUAAAUCGUUCUAGAUAAUAAGGGUUUAAAGAUUAAUUUGUAUUUCGUUUGCUUUCAGUAGGGAAAAUUUAAUUUUAGCUUGUUUAUAUUAUAUUAUAAUGUUUGUAUUAGUAAAUUGUGUUAUGUGAACUAGUUAUUUAAAUUUUAUAAAAAAAUUUUAUAGUUCAGUUAAGCAAAGUUGAAGAAUUCGGCAAAUUUUGCUUCUGCCUGUUUAUCAAAAACAUGUCUGCACGGGUGGAUUGAUGUGCAGUCUGGCCUGCCCCCUGAA
RNAcentral lists this ribosomal RNA (745 nucleotides) under Caridina sp. FB-9. RNAcentral's name for it is "partial 16S ribosomal RNA". The record is from RNAcentral. Lineage: Eukaryota; Metazoa; Arthropoda; Malacostraca; Decapoda; Atyidae.